GAGUAGCAAAGAACAACGAAUUUAGUUGUAAAUUUGAUGAUGCUCAGUAGGAGGAAAUCCUUCAAAUGUUGAAGGAGUUCUUUUGUACCUUUGAAGAUGUGUCUUCAGUGGGACAACAAUCCUUUGAGAAAAAAAAAGAAGGUGCAAAAAAGUCAUGCUUGGACUGAAGAGCCCAAACUAACAAAAGAGUCUAAGGUUAACCUAGUUUGACAGAGUCUCUUGAUCCGAACAG
RNAcentral lists this long non-coding RNA (232 nucleotides) under Elaeis guineensis (African oil palm). RNAcentral's name for it is "long non-coding RNA (EGUI_LNC063280)". The record is from RNAcentral. Lineage: Eukaryota; Viridiplantae; Streptophyta; Magnoliopsida; Arecales; Arecaceae.